Molecule: ribosomal RNA, 253 nt
Filed under: uncultured bacterium
Lineage: Bacteria
Description: partial 16S ribosomal RNA
Rfam family: Bacterial small subunit ribosomal RNA
Source: RNAcentral
UACGUAGGGUGCAAGCGUUGUCCGGAAUUAUUGGCGUAAAGAGCUUGUAGGCGGUUUGUCGCGUCUGCUGUGAAAUUUCGGGGCUCAACCCCGAACUUGCAGUGGGUACGGGCAGACUAGAGUGUGGUAGGGGGAGACUGGAAUUCCUGGUGUAGCGGUGAAAUGCGCAGAUAUCAGGAGGAACACCGAUGGCGAAGGCAGGUCUCUGGGCCAUAACUGACGCUGAGAAGCGAAAGCAUGGGGAGCGAACAGG